This 330-nucleotide ribosomal RNA is filed under the name uncultured bacterium. RNAcentral's name for it is "bacterial SSU rRNA". It matches the Rfam family "Bacterial small subunit ribosomal RNA", at positions 568 to 898 of the family's 1533-position model. The record is from RNAcentral.
UGUGUAGGCGGUUGUUUAAGUUUGGUGUGAAAUCUCCCGGCUCAACUGGGAGGGUGCGCCGAAUACUGAAUGACUAGAGUGCGGGAGAGGAAAGUGGAAUUCCUGGUGUAGCGGUGAAAUGCGUAGAUAUCAGGAGGAACACCGGUGGUGUAGACGGCUUUCUGGACCGUAACUGACGCUGAGACACGAAAGCGUGGGUAGCAAACAGGAUUAGAUACCCUGGUGGUCCACGCCCUAAACGAUGCAUAUUUGGUGUGGGCAGUUCAUUCUGUCCGUGCCGGAGCUAACGCGUUAAAUAUGCCGCCUGGGGAGUACAGUCGCAAGGCUGAA